Long non-coding RNA from Heterocephalus glaber (naked mole-rat), 286 nucleotides. The record is from Ensembl. NCBI's taxonomy places the organism in Eukaryota, Metazoa, Chordata, Mammalia, Rodentia, Bathyergidae.
UUUUUUUUUUUUUUCUGGUCCCAGAAAUCGAACUUGGGUCCUUGCACUUGCACAGCAGGUGCUGAAACCACUGAGCUAAAUCCCUGGCCCCUCUAUUAGUUUCUUCUACCAAUCACUUAAUCCGUGUUUUAUCUUCCCCAAAAGACAGUGCCUUGAGCCCUUUCAGUCCGAAGUAUAUUCCUCUGUAUUUGGUGUUUUUUCCUGCCUGGGAGACGUCAUUAGUUUUUCUCUACAGAGUACAUUUUACCUGUUCUUCAAGUUUUGUGAGGAUGGAUGUAGACCACAC